Long non-coding RNA from Metopolophium dirhodum (rose-grain aphid), 1736 nucleotides. RefSeq lists it as uncharacterized. NCBI's taxonomy places the organism in Eukaryota, Metazoa, Arthropoda, Insecta, Hemiptera, Aphididae. The transcript has 13 exons. The record is from RefSeq and is a predicted model, not a curated record.
CGAAUUGCAAUAAUUUGAAAUUUGAACAAAAAAAUACAGACCACAGUCGUGCAGAGUUCUAAUAGUUCUAUUCAUACAUAUUAUUACAUAAUCGCCAUGCAUAUAUGUAUUGUUUUUAGUAAAACAUCCGAAGUAUCGCCUAGCCACAUUAUGUUAGUUUUAAUUUAUUUCCAAAAAAUGAAAAUAGAAGGAAAUAAUGGCUAAACAACUUUGAAUUAAAUGAUUAUCCCAAUUUCUACCUGACAUAGUAUCUGCGGAUAAUUUCACAAUUACUGAUUGUAAACAAUGCACUCAAAACAUAAUCCAAACCGUUUGUCUGGGAUAGAGAAGAAAAAUAAAUUUUAGUAAUUUACAGUGACAUUGGUACUACUCUGAGCAUGACUAAUAGCUUCUAUAAAAUUCUGUUUUGAAUGAAGGUGUCGGUCGUGUUGCGCUGUGCCCCUGCAGUUGUAGACGACGAUGUUGUCUCCAGAACCGAACAAUGUCAGCGAGAGUGGAGCGUGACGUUGCUACUCGUUGCCGGUCGUUAGCAGACAAAAAAUUGCACAAAUGCUCGAGACGUGCGUGACAGCCAGAAUAUUGUGUAUCUCCAACGAUGAGGUUGAAGAAAAUGAACAGACAAAUAAAGAAUUUCGAGGCCUUACAAGCUGAUGAUUUUAAUUCAUCCAGAAAAGCCUUAGAAGCUUAAUAAUGUCUAUACACACUUAUAGUUUACACACAUAUUUUGCCUGUGUCUUAUUCUAAACAAUUGGAUCACAAGCAACCUCCAGCUGUUAUCACAUAUAUCUUUGGUGAAAUCGUAACUAUUAAAUGAUCAAUGUCGGCGAGGAUGGAGCGUGAUGUUGCCGGUCGUUAGCUGACAAAAAAUUGCACAAAUGCUCGAGACGUGCAUGACGGCCAGAAUAUUGUAUAUCUCCAACGACGAGGUUGAAGAAAAUGAACAGACGAAUAAAGGAUUUGGAGACGUUAUAGUUGAUGAAUUUAAUUUACCCAGAAAAUCCUUAGAAACUUAAUAAUGUCUUAUUCACAUACACUUAUGCAAUACAAUUUAGCUGAGCAGGAACCCAAUUUCAAUAACACAGAUGAGGGCCUCAACAUAUCUAAAUUGCAAAGAAACACGUAACUAGUUUGGACUUCAGUAUCUUUUCUGAAAUAAAAAAUAUUGUAUAUCUCCAACGACGAGGUUGAAGAAAAUGAACAGACGAAUAAAGGAUAUGGAGACCUUACAGCUGAUGAUUUUAAUUCAACCAGAAAAUCCUUAGAAACCUAAUAAUGUCUAAUUCACAUACACUUAGAUUUCCAAAAAACGAAAAUAGAAGGAAAUAAUGGCGGUAAUCAUUUCUACAGCAACACUGGUAGUACUGCUCUGAGCACGACUAGUAAAUCUUAUCUAAGAAAAUAUUGUGUUUUUCCGACGAUGAGUGAGAAGAAAAUAAACAGACGAAUAAAGGAUAUGGAGACCUUACAGUCGAUGAUUUUUUCAUUCGCCCAGAAAAGCCUUAGAUACUUAAUAAUGUCUAAUUCACACACACUUAUAAUGGUUGGCAUGAGCUGUGAAAAGAUAUAUUAUAUUGAAGAUGUAGGCUGUUAAUAAAUUUGUGGUGUCCUACAUAUGCAUACAUACAAAGUUUACUGGUCGUCAAACCCGUUCCCAUUCAUGGAAUUUACUUCUCAACAAGAAAAUACAAACUUCUUUGGAAGAAGGCUAAGCAAACACCAAUUACCUUCAAUUGCAC